ACGGGUGAGUAACGCGUGGGAAUCUACCCUAUAGUUGGGGACAACAUAUGGAAACGUAUGCUAAUACCGAAUACGCUCUACGGAGUAAAGGAGCCCACUUCAUGAAAGGUUUCGCUAUAGGAUGAGCCCGCGUUAGAUUAGCUAGUUGGUGAGGUAAAGGCUCACCAAGGCCACGAUCUAUAGCUGGUUUGAGAGGAUGAUCAGCCACACUGGGACUGAGACACGGCCCAGACUCCUACGGGAGGCAGCAGUAGGGAAUCUUCCGCAAUGGACGAAAGUCUGACGGAGCGACACCGCGUGAUGGAUGAAGGCCCAUGGGUCGUAAACAUCUUUCGUCGGGGAAGAAAAUGACUGUACCCGAAUAAGAAGGUCCGGCUAACUUCGUGCCAGCAGCCGCGGUAAUACGAAGGGACCUAGCGUAGUUCGGAAUUACUGGGCGUAAAGCGCGCGUAGGCGGAUAAUUAAGUCAGUUGUGAAAGCCCUGGGCUCAACCUAGGAACUGCAUCUGAUACUGAUUGUCUAGAGUUUAAGAGAGGGAAGUGGAAUUCCAGGUGUAGCAGUGAAAUGCGUAAAUAUCUGGAGGAACAUCAGUGGCGAAGGCGACUUCCUGGCUUAAAACUGACCCUGAGGUGCGAAAGCGUGGGUAGCGAACGGGAUUAGAUACCCCGGUAGUCCACGCCGUAAACGAUGUCAACUAGUUGUUGGUCUUAUUAAAAAGAUUAGUAACGAAGCUAACGCGAUAAGUUGACCGCCUGGGGAGUACGGUCGCAAGAUUAAAACUCAAAGGAAUUGACGGGGCCCCGCAACAAGCGGUGGAGCAUGUGGUUUAAUUCGAUGCAACGCGAAGAACCUUACCCAUCCCUUGGACAUGUAGUGAACUUUCUAGAGAUAGAUUGGUGCCUUCGGGAACACUAACACAGGUGCUGCAUGGCUGUCGUCAGCUCGUGUCGUGAGAUGUUGGGUUAAGUCCCGCAACGAGCGCAACCCUUAUCUUUAGUUGCUACCAUUAAGUUGAGAACUCUAAAGAGACUGCCGGUGAUAAACCGGAGGAAGGUGGGGACGACGUCAAGUCAUCAUGGCCCUUAUGGGAUGGGCUACACACGUGCUACAAUGGGGCGUACAGAGUGUUGCGAUACCGCGAGGUGGAGCUAAUCACUUAAAGCGUCUCUCAGUUCGGAUUGGAGUCUGCAACUCGACUCCAUGAAGCUGGAAUCACUAGUAAUCGUAGAUCAGCAAUGCUACGGUGAAUACGUUCCCGGGUCUUGUACUCACCGCCCGUCACACCAUGGGAGUUGAUUUCGCCCGAAAUCGGAAUGCCAAACUGGCUACCGCUUACGGCGGAAUUAGCGACUGGGGUGAAGUCGUAACAAGGUAACC
RNAcentral lists this ribosomal RNA (1377 nucleotides) under uncultured bacterium. RNAcentral describes it as "partial 16S rRNA". It matches the Rfam family "Bacterial small subunit ribosomal RNA". The record is from RNAcentral.